AACGAACGCUGGCGGCAUGCCUAACACAUGCAAGUCGAACGAGACCUUCGGGUCUAGUGGCGCACGGGUGCGUAACGCGUGGGAACCUGCCCUUAGGUUCGGAAUAACUCCCCGAAAUGGGUGCUAAUACCGGAUAAUGUCUUCGGACCAAAGAUUUAUCGCCUUUGGAUGGGCCCGCGUUGGAUUAGCUAGUUGGUAGGGUAAAAGCCUACCAAGGCGACGAUCCAUAGCUGGUCUGAGAGGAUGAUCAGCCACACUGGGACUGAGACACGGCCCAGACUCCUACGGGAGGCAGCAGUGGGGAAUAUUGGACAAUGGGCGAAAGACUGAUCCAGCAAUGCCGCGUGAGUGAUGAAGGCCUUAGGGUUGUAAAGCUCUUUUACCCGGGAUGAUAAUGACAGUACCGGGAGAAUAAGCUCCGGCUAACUCCGUG
RNAcentral lists this ribosomal RNA (433 nucleotides) under uncultured bacterium. RNAcentral's name for it is "partial 16S ribosomal RNA". It matches the Rfam family "Bacterial small subunit ribosomal RNA", at positions 29 to 507 of the family's 1533-position model. The record is from RNAcentral.